This 283-nucleotide unclassified non-coding RNA is filed under the name Hevea brasiliensis (rubber tree). Lineage: Eukaryota; Viridiplantae; Streptophyta; Magnoliopsida; Malpighiales; Euphorbiaceae. The record is from RNAcentral.
CAACUAAGGCUCCAUUCUGGCCUGCUGGAGUUGACGGUAAUCGACCACCUGCCAAGAUACCCAUUCCACUGCCCUUGAAUCAUUUAACGAAGAGUGAUGAGUCAAUGGGUCGGCCGCUACAGUUAAGUGAACAGGGACAAAUUCUUGAGCUGGCUAUUGAGGCAGCAGCAAAUGCGAUUAUUGAUCUUAGAGACAGUUUAAAUGAAUGGGAUAGCAAAGUAGGCGAUGGUGACUGUGGUUCAACGAUGGAUAGAGGUGCAACAGCAAUUCUAGAGGACAUGAA